AAACUCAAAACCUCUGGGUUUAUGGUUGGUCUCAAGUUCUUCCUUAAACAACUGAGCUAAGCGGCGGGGUUAUUGGGUUCAAUAUUGUAUUUACUCUGGAAGACAAUUGAGUGAGUUGAAUUCAUUUUCCAAGGCUUUUAAUACCCUUUUCCGCAGAUCUACUUUGCAUAACGCUCCCAUCUCUAUUUUCUUUUGUCACGAUGAUAAUUUUAUUUCUCGGUACUUCGAUUUCUUUAGGAAUCUCACUUAUCAUGAUGCAAAUAAGUUGACGUGUUAAUUUCCGGACUUUUCCGUCUUCUCCCGG
RNAcentral lists this long non-coding RNA (304 nucleotides) under Panax ginseng (ginseng). RNAcentral describes it as "long non-coding RNA (PGIN_LNC019056)". The record is from RNAcentral. Lineage: Eukaryota; Viridiplantae; Streptophyta; Magnoliopsida; Apiales; Araliaceae.